RNAcentral lists this ribosomal RNA (478 nucleotides) under uncultured bacterium. Its description in RNAcentral is "partial 16S ribosomal RNA". It matches the Rfam family "Bacterial small subunit ribosomal RNA", at positions 899 to 1397 of the family's 1533-position model. The record is from RNAcentral.
ACUCAAAUGAAUUGACGGGGGCCCGCACAAGCAGCGGAGCGUGUGGUUUAAUUCGACGCAACACGAAGAACCUUACCCAGACUUGACAUGUGCCUGCAGGCCGCGGAAACGCGGCGGCCUACGAGGGAGGCACACAGAUGCUGCAUGGCUGUCGUCAGCUCGUGUCGUGAGAUGUUGGGUUCAGUCCCGCAACGAGCGCAACCCCUACGGCCAGUUGUAUGUUUCUGGCUGGACUGCCCGUUUUGGGAGGAAGGCGGGGAUGAGGUCAAGUCCGCAUGGCUCUGACGUCUGGGGCAACACACACGCUACAAUGAUGCCAGCAAUGCGCCGCCACCGGGCAACCGGGCGCAAAUCGAGAAAGGGCAUCCCAGUGCAGAUCGGGGGCUGCAACUCGCCCCCGUGAAGGCGGAGUUGCUAGUAACCGCGUAUCAGCGAUGGCGCGGUGAAUACGUACCCGGGCCUUGUACACACCGCCCGU